CGGAGGGAUCAUUAAAGAGUUCUAUAACUCCCAAACCCAUGUGAACAUACCUAACGUUGCCUCGGCAGGUCGCACCUACCUUGUAGCACCCUACCCUGUAGGGCCUACCCGGGAGGUGCGGGUAAGCCUGCCGGCGGCCCACCAAACUCUGUUUGAUAUUGAAUUCUGAACCUAUAACUAAAUAAGUUAAAACUUUCAACAACGGAUCUCUUGGUUCUGGCAUCGAUGAAGAACGCAGCGAAAUGCGAUAAGUAAUGUGAAUUGCAGAAUUCAGUGAAUCAUCGAAUCUUUGAACGCAUAUUGCGCCCAUUAGUAUUCUAGUGGGCAGGACCGUUCGAGCGUCAUUUCAACCCUUAAGCCUUCGUUGCUUAGUGUUGGGAGCCUACGGCAACGUAGCUCCUCAAAGUUAGUGGCGGAGUUGGUUCACACUCUAGACGUAGUAAUUUUUUAUCUCGCCUAUUAGUUGGACUAAUCCCCUGCCGUAAAACCCCCAAUUUAUCAAGGUUGACCUCGAAUCGGUUCAGACAAACUCGCUAAAUUGAAGCAUCUUAGUCAGCGAAGGAAAAGAAACCAACAGGGAUUGCCCUAGUAACGGCGAGUGAAGCGGCAACAGCUCAAAUUUGAAAUCUGG
RNAcentral lists this ribosomal RNA (631 nucleotides) under fungal endophyte. RNAcentral's name for it is "eukaryotic LSU rRNA". The stretch from base 191 to 344 matches the Rfam family "5.8S ribosomal RNA". The record is from RNAcentral. Lineage: Eukaryota; Fungi.